UACGUAGGGGGCGAGCGUUGUCCGGAAUUAUUGGGCGUAAAGCGCGCGCAGGCGGUCUCUUAAGUCUGAUGUGAAAGCCCACGGCUCAACCGUGGAGGGUCAUUGGAAACUGGGGGACUUGAGGGCAGGAGAGGAGAGCGGAAUUCCACGUGUAGCGGUGAAAUGCGUAGAUAUAGGAAGGAACAUCAGUGGCGAAGGCGACUACCUGGACUGAUACUGACACUGAGGUGCGAGAGCGUGGGGAGCAAACAGG
This 253-nucleotide ribosomal RNA is filed under the name uncultured bacterium. RNAcentral's name for it is "partial 16S ribosomal RNA". It matches the Rfam family "Bacterial small subunit ribosomal RNA", at positions 524 to 776 of the family's 1533-position model. The record is from RNAcentral.